This 195-nucleotide microRNA precursor is filed under the name Oryza rufipogon (brownbeard rice). RNAcentral's name for it is "MIR812 microRNA precursor family". It matches the Rfam family "MIR812 microRNA precursor family". The record is from Rfam by way of RNAcentral. Lineage: Eukaryota; Viridiplantae; Streptophyta; Magnoliopsida; Poales; Poaceae.
AAAAAAAGCAAACACUGGGUUUCCGUGCCAAUAUUUGACUGUCUGUCUUAUAUGAAAUUUUUUUGUAAUUAGUAUUUUCAUUGUUGUUAGAUGAUAAAACAAGAUUAAUACUUUAUGCGUGACUUAUCUUUUUAAUUUUUUUCAAAUAAGACGGACGGUCAAACGUUGGACACGGAAACCAGGGUUUGUCUUUUU